UGGAAGUUAAAAGUCGUAACAAGGUUUCCGUAGGUGAACCUGCGGAAGGAUCAUUACCGAGUGCGGGCUGCCUCCGGGCGCCCAACCUCCCACCCGUGACUACCUAACACUGUUGCUUCGGCGGGGAGCCCCCCAGGGGCGAGCCGCCGGGGACCACCGAACUUCAUGCCUGAGAGUGAUGCAGUCUGAGCCUGAAUACAAAUCAGUCAAAACUUUCAACAAUGGAUCUCUUGGUUCCGGCAUCGAUGAAGAACGCAGCGAACUGCGAUAAGUAAUGUGAAUUGCAGAAUUCAGUGAAUCAUCGAGUCUUUGAACGCACAUUGCGCCCCCUGGCAUUCCGGGGGGCAUGCCUGUCCGAGCGUCAUUGCUGCCCUCAAGCCCGGCUUGUGUGUUGGGUCGUCGUCCCCCCCGGGGGACGGGCCCGAAAGGCAGCGGCGGCACCGUGUCCGGUCCUCGAGCGUAUGGGGCUUUGUCACCCGCUCGAUUAGGGCCGGCCGGGCGCCAGCCGGCGUCUCCAACCUUAUUUUUCUCAGGUUGACCUCGGAUCAGGUAGGGAUACCCGCUGAACUUAAGCAUAUCAAUAAGCCGGAGGAA
RNAcentral lists this unclassified non-coding RNA (594 nucleotides) under Aspergillus corrugatus. RNAcentral's name for it is "partial contains ITS1, 5.8S rRNA and ITS2". The stretch from base 211 to 364 matches the Rfam family "5.8S ribosomal RNA". Lineage: Eukaryota; Fungi; Ascomycota; Eurotiomycetes; Eurotiales; Aspergillaceae. The record is from RNAcentral.